RNAcentral lists this ribosomal RNA (593 nucleotides) under Candidatus Bathyarchaeota archaeon. Its description in RNAcentral is "bacterial SSU rRNA". It matches the Rfam family "Archaeal small subunit ribosomal RNA", at positions 885 to 1478 of the family's 1478-position model. The record is from RNAcentral. Lineage: Archaea; Thermoproteati; Candidatus Bathyarchaeota.
GGGGUGAAGCUUGCGGUUUAAUUGGAGUCAACGCCGGGAACCUUACCGGGGGCGACAGCAGUAUGAUUGCCAGAUUGAUGGUCUUGCUUGACGAGCUGAGAGGAGGUGCAUGGCCGUCGCCAGUUCGUGCCGUGAGGUGUCCUGUUAAGUCAGGCAACGAUCGAGACCCGCGUCCCUUGUUGCCUCUGAGGAGAGUCUCCGAUGGGCAAGACUAGGGAGACCGCCGCCGACAAGGCGGAGGAAGGAGCGGGCCACGGCAGGUCAGUAUGCCCCGAAUCCCCCGGGCCACACGCGAGCUGCAAUGGCAGGGACAGUGGGUUCCAACUCCGAAAGGAGGAGGUAAUCUCGAAACCCUGUCGUAGUUGGGAUCGAGGGCUGAAACUCGCCCUCGUGAAUCAUGGAAUCCCUAGUAAUCGCGCGUCAUCAUCGCGCGGUGAAUACGUCCCCGCUCCUUGCACACACCGCCCGUCGUUCCACCCAAGUGGGGUUUGGAUGAGGCGUGGUCUUCUUGGCUGCGUCGAAUCUAGGCUUCGUGAGGGGGGAAAAGUCGUAACAAGGUGGCCGUAGGGGAACCUGCGGCCGGAUCACCUCCU